AUUGAACGCUGGCGGCAGGCCUAACACAUGCAAGUCGAGCGGAUGAAGGGAGCUUGCUCCUGGAUUCAGCGGCGGACGGGUGAGUAAUGCCUAGGAAUCUGCCUGGUAGUGGGGGAUAACGUCCGGAAACGGGCGCUAAUACCGCAUACGUCCUGAGGGAGAAAGUGGGGGAUCUUCGGACCUCACGCUAUCAGAUGAGCCUAGGUCGGAUUAGCUAGUUGGUGGGGUAAAGGCCUACCAAGGCGACGAUCCGUAACUGGUCUGAGAGGAUGAUCAGUCACACUGGAACUGAGACACGGUCCAGACUCCUACGGGAGGCAGCAGUGGGGAAUAUUGGACAAAGGGCGAAAGCCUGAUCCAGCCAUGCCGCGUGUGUGAAGAAGGUCUUCGGAUUGCAAAGCACUUUAAGUUGGGAGGAAGGGCAGUAAGUUAAUACCUUGCUGUUUUGACGUUACCAACAGAAUAAGCACCGGCUAACUUCGUG
RNAcentral lists this ribosomal RNA (484 nucleotides) under uncultured bacterium. RNAcentral's name for it is "partial 16S ribosomal RNA". It matches the Rfam family "Bacterial small subunit ribosomal RNA", at positions 30 to 507 of the family's 1533-position model. The record is from RNAcentral.